RNAcentral lists this ribosomal RNA (253 nucleotides) under uncultured bacterium. RNAcentral's name for it is "partial 16S ribosomal RNA". It matches the Rfam family "Bacterial small subunit ribosomal RNA", at positions 524 to 776 of the family's 1533-position model. The record is from RNAcentral.
UACAGAGGUCCCAAGCGUUGUUCGGAAUUACUGGGCGUAAAGGGCGCGUAGGCGGUGCACUAAGUCAGGCGUGAAAGCCCUGGGCUCAACCCGGGAAUUGCGCUUGAUACUGGUGCGCUUGAAUCCAGGAGAGGUUGGUGGAAUUCCCAGUGUAGAGGUGAAAUUCGUAGAGAUUGGGAAGAACACCGGUGGCGAAGGCGGCCAACUGGACUGGUAUUGACGCUGAGGCGCGAAAGCGUGGGGAGCAAACAGG